RNAcentral lists this ribosomal RNA (428 nucleotides) under Verrucomicrobiota bacterium. Its description in RNAcentral is "Verrucomicrobia bacterium partial 16S ribosomal RNA". It matches the Rfam family "Bacterial small subunit ribosomal RNA", at positions 355 to 776 of the family's 1533-position model. Lineage: Bacteria; Pseudomonadati; Verrucomicrobiota. The record is from RNAcentral.
UAGGGAAUCUUCCGCAAUGGACGAAAGUCUGACGGAGCAACGCCGCGUGAGUGAAGAAGGAUUUCGGUUCGUAAAACUCUGUUGUUAGGGAAGAAAAAAUGUAUAGUAACUAUAUACAAAAGAGACGGUACCUAACCAGAAAGCCACGGCUAACUACGUGCCAGCAGCCGCGGUAAUACGUAGGUGGCAAGCGUUGUCCGGAAUCACUGGGCGUAAAGGGUUCGCAGGCGGAAAUGCAAGUCAGGUGUAAAAGGCAGUAGCUUAACUACUGUAAGCAUUUGAAACUGCAUAUCUUGAGAAGAGUAGAGGUAAGUGGAAUUUUUAGUGUAGCGGUGAAAUGCGUAGAUAUUAAAAAGAAUACCGGUGGCGAAGGCGACUUACUGGGCUCAUUCUGACGCUGAGGAACGAAAGCGUGGGUAGCAAACAGG